GCGCCCUUGGCGGAAUUGGCAGACGCAGUGGACUUAAAAUCCACCGCCUAAGGCGUACGGGUUCGAGUCCCGUAGGGCGCA
This 81-nucleotide transfer RNA is filed under the name Caudoviricetes sp. RNAcentral describes it as "tRNA-Leu". It matches the Rfam family "tRNA". From Rfam's summary of the family: Transfer RNA (tRNA) molecules are approximately 80 nucleotides in length. Their secondary structure includes four short double-helical elements and three loops (D, anti-codon, and T loops). Lineage: Duplodnaviria; Heunggongvirae; Uroviricota; Caudoviricetes. The record is from RNAcentral.